Molecule: ribosomal RNA, 497 nt
Filed under: uncultured bacterium
Lineage: Bacteria
Description: partial 16S ribosomal RNA
Rfam family: Bacterial small subunit ribosomal RNA
Source: RNAcentral
GAUGAACGCUGGCGGCGUGCCUAAUACAUGCAAGUCGAGCGAACGGACGAGAAGCUUGCUUCUCUGAUGUUAGCGGCGGACGGGCGAGUAACACGUGGAUAACCUACCUAUAAGACUGGGAUAACUUCGGGAAACCGGAGCUAAUACCGGAUAAUAUUUUGAACCGCAUGGUUCAAAAGUGAAAGACGGUCUUGCUGUCACUUAUAGAUGGAUCCGCGCUGCAUUAGCUAGUUGGUAAGGUAACGGCCUACCAAGGCAACGAUGCAUAGCCGACCUGAGAGGGUGAUCGGCCACACUGGAACUGAGACACGGUCCAGACUCCUACGGGAGGCAGCAGUAGGGAAUCUUCCGCAAUGGGCGAAAGCCUGACGGAGCAACGCCGCGUGAGUGAUGAAGGUCUUCGGAUCGUAAAACUCUGUUACUAGGGAAGAACAUAUGUGUAAGUAACUGUGCACAUCUUGACGGUACCUAAUCAGAAAGCCACGGCUAACUACGUG